RNAcentral lists this long non-coding RNA (1051 nucleotides) under Heterocephalus glaber (naked mole-rat). RNAcentral describes it as "lncRNA (ENSHGLG00100034258.1)". The record is from RNAcentral. Lineage: Eukaryota; Metazoa; Chordata; Mammalia; Rodentia; Bathyergidae.
GGCCUGAUGCAGGCCUGGACGAUCAGAUUCAGGGUUUAUCUUGAAGCCUUGGUAGUCCCAACCUUUCCCUGACUUUCUCUUCAUUAGGCCCCUGGCCUUAUCCUCUCAGAACCUGGGAGCCUAGACCGAGGCCUUUUUCAAGAUACAGAGGGUUGUCAACAGGCAGGAGCCUCAGCUAGCCCUGAUGGCUCAGCUCUGGAGGGGACAAUGGUAGGACAGGUGGCUACAGAGGCAUAAAGGCCACGGUGUUUCUGGACCAGCCCCAGUGUCACCAGCUUUGGACUGGAAGUGGCUUAGGGGAGUGCUAGAGAGUGCUAGUGCUAGAGACCCCUUCCAGUAAGGACUCAGGCCCAUCGUCAUUUUAUCCCUCCCCUUGUGGCUUCCUGAGUGGGGGCGCGGUCACAUCUUGGGCAGCAGCCCACAGCUUCCAUAGCUUAGUAGGUCCAAGUCCACCUCAGGCCAGAAGGAGCUCAUUCUUUUGCCGUGAGCAAAGAGGGCCGCUGUCAUUUCCUUGUUCCAUGAUGAGGAUUCAGCUCACUCAAGACUUCUGAUGGCCUCAUGACAGCUUCUGGCUGUCAGAGCUCACAGACCAUCUGCUUGGAUUGCCCUGCGGCCCUCCUGUAGGGCACAGAUGCUGGCAAUAAUGUGUCCCAUUUGGCAGGCGAUAUGACAUUGCUUCUUGUAUCAUGUCAGGUGACUCAAAUAACGAUCAUGCCUGUUGACACUUGGAGCUCUCAGAGGGAAUUCUGAACAGCAAAGGAAAGAUGAAAUGAAACUCAAGGGUGCUUGUUCCAAACACUGCAGCAGCCCGCAUAACCAGCAAUGAAGCCAUUGCUAAAGUCAACAAUGAAAGAACUCUGGUAGGACAGAGCCCAGAUCCGUGGCGAUCCCACCUUUGCAUUUCCAUGGAAAUCAAGGCCCACAGAAGAAGAAACACAGAUUCUGAAAGGAAGAGAGAAAAAGGCAGACUAGCUAGAGAGCUUGGGGCCUGAGGAACACACAACAUGUAGUGGAAUCAAACUAGAAAUCAACAGCAGAAAAAAUAACAGGA